This 2025-nucleotide long non-coding RNA is filed under the name Gossypium barbadense (sea-island cotton). Its description in RNAcentral is "long non-coding RNA (GBAR_LNC002043)". The record is from RNAcentral. Lineage: Eukaryota; Viridiplantae; Streptophyta; Magnoliopsida; Malvales; Malvaceae.
UUGGAGAAAUUGGGAUGUGUUGUGUAGACCAAAGUGUGUUGGUGGGCUGGGUUUCAAAAAUAUGCGUUGGUUUAAUAAAUCAUUAUUAGCAAAGCAAGUGUGGCGUCUCUUAUCCCAGGCCAAUUGCCUUUUGGCCAAAGUCCUUAAAGCUCGUUGUUAUCCACAUUCAGAUAUUUUAUCAGCCAAGAUAAGUUCUUACCCUUCAUUUACCUGGCGCAGUAUUUGCAACGCUCAUGAUUUGAUUGCUGAUGGAGUUUUGUGGAGAAUUGGUAAUGGUAUUAAGGUUAACAUUUGGAAUGACCCCCGGUUGCUUGGAGUGGAAAACAACAGAAUAUCAGGGCAUUGUAUUAAUCCUCGAUGGACGAUUGUUAAUCAAUUAAUUGAUUCGGAGACAAAUACCUGGAAUAAAGGACUUAUUUCCAGUCUUGUAGAUGAAGAUCAGGCGCAACGUAUUCUGUCCAUUCCGAUUGUUGAGUCAUCAAAGGAGGAUUUGCUGGUGUAGAAGUAUGAAGGUUCGGGCGAGUAUACGGUUAAAAGUGGAUACAGAGUUCUUACUACUGCCUAUUUACAGGACACCAAUUUCAUCAACUUUACUGAUGAUAGAUACAAGAUUUUCUACAAGUCUUUGUGGUCUAUUAACAUCCCGGAGAAAAUCAAAAUACAUAUUUGGAGGCUAUUUAAUAAUUUUUUCCUCACUACAGUAACUUAGUGUUAAGAAGGUUGAGGACUGAUUCUGUUUGUCCGCUUUGCAGGGAAGCAUCAGAAACCACGGAUCAUUUGUUGUGGUCUUGCGAUCUUCUUCAAAGUGUAUGAGCUUCCCUUCAAAUUAAAACUGCUUCUGUUGACAGCACAUCCAACUAUAAGUUUUGUUUUGUCAAAAAUUUUAUUGAAGCAAAUGAGCAGAGCAAACAAAUUAUUGCAAUAUCUAUCUGGACCAUGUGGUACAGGAGAAACCAUUUGAUACAUGAGGGCACUAAAUUUUCUAUACAGGAAGUGCUUGGUUUCAUUAAAGGAUAUGUUCAGGAAAUAAAGUUUUGCAAAAAAAAUCUCGGUGGCAUUGAUGUUUUUCUGAAAAAUGGGUUUUGGAAGCCUCCAGGUUUGGGAUUUAUCAAGAUUAAUUUUGACGCUACCUUUCAAAGUGAUUCUAGGACAUCUAUUGUAGCAGCUUUGGCCAGAGACGCAAGAGGGGAAAUUAGAGGAGCUGUAACUUAUCUGAUUGAGGAUGUAGCUGAUGCGUUCAUUGCUGAAGCAAGGGCAUGUGAAAGGUCCUUAUUGUUUGCGCGUCUGAUGGGUUUCAGGUGUUUGGAAGUGGAAGGGGAUUCUCUGACCGUGAUUAAAAAACUGCAAGCAAGAAUUAAUGAUAAAUCUAUUCUCAGAUCUAUUAUCAUUCACAUUCGAGAAUUAGAACACUAUUUUGAUAAGGUGGUUUACCUGUUUGUUCCUCGUUCUGUUAAUGCUGCAGCCUAUGCUUUGGCAGCGGAAGGGCGAAGAAGCAGAAGAUCUGGGCUAUGGAAUGAUGGCAUUCCGACUUCAUUAUCGAGUGUUUUGGAAAGGGAUCGGAAGAGUUCGAUAGAGACGAUUCAAAGUAUGUCUUAGUUUGCUUUGUAGUGGAGAAGGUUCUCUGAAUUUCCAUAUUUGGGUUCAAAGCAUUUGGGUUUUCUUCCUAUAUCAGAACUGAUUGUUACACGAAGAAGGAAACUGGCUUUGACUGAUAUUUGUGGGUUUUAUCUUUUGUUUGAAGGCCAGAGUAGUUCUGGUUUUUGAGUUUGUGGUUUUUGAAGUUCCUGUGUGCGCAUUAAUGGUUUUUGGACGAUUGGUCUGCUUUUCUCUUUUGUUUUAUUGCUGUUUGGUUUUAUUUUAUGUUGUUUUUGUGGGUUUUGUUUUUUAUCGGGGAGUUGAUUGUGAUGUAACCUCUGGCAUUUUGAGCAAUUUUUAAUAAUAUCAGUCUUUUCAUUUCAAAAAAAUGAAAAAUAUUCAAAGGGGAAAAUAUCACAUAUAAUUGAACUUUAUGCACUAAUCAACAAG